This 392-nucleotide ribosomal RNA is filed under the name Lactiplantibacillus plantarum. Its description in RNAcentral is "bacterial SSU rRNA". It matches the Rfam family "Bacterial small subunit ribosomal RNA", at positions 75 to 461 of the family's 1533-position model. Lineage: Bacteria; Bacillati; Bacillota; Bacilli; Lactobacillales; Lactobacillaceae. The record is from RNAcentral.
AUGAUUUACAUUUGAGUGAGUGGCGAACUGGUGAGUAACACGUGGGAAACCUGCCCAGAAGCGGGGGAUAACACCUGGAAACAGAUGCUAAUACCGCAUAACAACUUGGACCGCAUGGUCCGAGCUUGCCAUAUGGAUUCGGCUAUCACUUUUGGAUGGCCCCGCGGCGUAUUAGCUAGAUGGUGGGGUAACGGCUCACCAUGGCAAUGAUACGUAGCCGACCUGAGAGGGUAAUCGGCCACAUUGGGACUGAGACACGGCCCGUCUACCUACGGGAGGCAGCAGUAGGGAAUCUUCCACAAUGGACGAAAGUCUGAUGGAGCAUCGCCGCGUGAGUGAAGAAGGUAUUCGGCUCGUAAAACUCUGUUGUUAAAGAAGAACAUAUCUGAGAG